GGGGGCGAACCGGGUUCGACCGGGCUUGUGAAGUGCAGGUUGCGUGUCGUGGUUGGUCAGCAGGCCACGUAAAAAGCAGACCACUAAAUUCAAUUGCCGAGCCUAAACUCGCAAUGGCUGCCUAAGAAAAGGCAACCCCGGACUUGUGCUGUUGCCGAAGCGGUGCAUGUUCCGGUCGUCAUUUCGGAUCGUCUCUGAUCAUGUCAGAUAAAGCAGAGAUUAAAUAUUGUUUCUGAACCGUUGCGGUGUCACCUUUGCCUCACUGGGGAUACUGUAAUCAAAUGAAAUGCGGGGAUACACACGUAGACGCUUGUAUGGAACGGUUACGGGACGCGGGUUCAAUUCCCGCCGCCUCCAUUG
Molecule: transfer-messenger RNA, 360 nt
Filed under: Planctomycetaceae bacterium
Lineage: Bacteria; Pseudomonadati; Planctomycetota; Planctomycetia; Planctomycetales; Planctomycetaceae
Rfam family: transfer-messenger RNA
About the family: Bacterial tmRNA, also known as 10Sa RNA or SsrA, is named for its dual tRNA and mRNA-like properties.
Source: RNAcentral